This 253-nucleotide ribosomal RNA is filed under the name uncultured bacterium. RNAcentral describes it as "partial 16S ribosomal RNA". It matches the Rfam family "Bacterial small subunit ribosomal RNA", at positions 524 to 776 of the family's 1533-position model. The record is from RNAcentral.
UACGGAGGGUGCGAGCGUUGUCCGGAAUCAUUGGGCGUAAAGGGCUCGUAGGCGGUCUGUUGCGUCAGGAGUGAAAACUCGGGGCUUAACCCCGAGCCUGCUUCUGAUACGGGCAGACUAGAGGUAUGCAGGGGAGAACGGAAUUCCUGGUGUAGCGGUGAAAUGCGCAGAUAUCAGGAGGAACACCGGUGGCGAAGGCGGUUCUCUGGGCAUUACCUGACGCUGAGGAGCGAAAGUGUGGGGAGCGAACAGG